RNAcentral lists this transfer RNA (57 nucleotides) under Schistocephalus solidus. It matches the Rfam family "tRNA", at positions 1 to 55 of the family's 71-position model. From Rfam's summary of the family: Transfer RNA (tRNA) molecules are approximately 80 nucleotides in length. Their secondary structure includes four short double-helical elements and three loops (D, anti-codon, and T loops). The record is from Rfam by way of RNAcentral. Lineage: Eukaryota; Metazoa; Platyhelminthes; Cestoda; Diphyllobothriidea; Diphyllobothriidae.
GAGCCCGUGGCUCAAUGGUUAGAGCGUUGAACUUCUGAUUAACAGGUCACGGGUUCG